Molecule: ribosomal RNA, 414 nt
Filed under: Triticum aestivum (bread wheat)
Lineage: Eukaryota; Viridiplantae; Streptophyta; Magnoliopsida; Poales; Poaceae
Description: partial small subunit ribosomal RNA
Source: RNAcentral
AUGCCCGGUGGCUGCAAGGGUUCCGUUGCGCCGUGUUUGGGAUCGGCGAUUCAGGCUACCAGGGUUGCUGCAAAGAAGCUCCGUACAAGGCUUUCACAGCUUGGUGCAAAAUCGAUCAUAGGGAUUGGAUUGGGAGAUGACCAAGACUCUUCAGGAUAUGAAAAAGCUCUAGGUCCUUGGCUGCUGUCUUUCUGGAAAUCACUAACUCGAACAAAUCCGUCGCUUUCACCAAGAAUUCAGGCUCGUCCGCGUGCACUCAGACGAGCGUCCAAGCACUCCGAUGAGUGUCCGUGCACAUCAGCGCCUCUACCACAAACAUUCAGAAAAAAGAGGAUUCCCCUAGUGUGGAAAAUGGAUAGCUCUGGAAUCUACUCCUCACAAUGGUUAUAUGCUGCUUUCAACUUCUCUGUGUAG